This 585-nucleotide ribosomal RNA is filed under the name Pseudococcus viburni (obscure mealybug). RNAcentral describes it as "partial large subunit ribosomal RNA". The record is from RNAcentral. Lineage: Eukaryota; Metazoa; Arthropoda; Insecta; Hemiptera; Pseudococcidae.
GAAUCGACGGCGUUCGCGCGUCGUCGGUUCGAUAUUUCCGUCGCCGACCAUUUACACGGACGUCGCGACCCGUUCGGUGUCGGUCUGCAGGAGACGUGCGAAAGUUCGUGUGCGUUCGCCGGGGUUUCGGCUUCGGCGGGCGUUUCGCGAGUGCGCGUUCUUUUCUGGCCGACUCGCCGGACGGUAUGCGAAGCGGUGAUCGCGGCGGCCUCUCGUCAGCGCCGUCGCGUUACCGGUCUGCGACGAAUCUUCGGGCCUCUUUCCGACCCGUCUUGAAACACGGACCAAGGAGUCUAACGUGCGCGCGAGUCGCGGGGUGUCGAGCGGCUGGCGGCGUUCGCUUGCGGGCGUCGUCGGCCGUUCGUUACAAUACGAAACCCGUCUCGUUUUACGAAAGGCGCAAUGAAAGUGAAUUUACGGGGAAGAUGACGUUACCGAGUUCACGUUCCGCGCUCUCGAAGCGCGGCCGGUCGUCCGCAUUCCCAGGGCGUCCCAAUGGCCCGGCGGCGUUGCGGACUGUCGUUCCUUCGGGGGCGGCGGUCGGGCGUCGUCGAACCGGGGCGCACCUAUAGCGUGCACGUUGGU